GAUGAACGCUAGCGGCAGGCUUAACACAUGCAAGUCGAGGGGCAGCACGGGUAGCAAUACCUGGUGGCGACCGGCGCAAGGGUGCGUAACGCGUGAGCAACAUGCCCUACUACAGGGGGAGUAAUCCAGGGAAACUUGGUCUAAUAUCCCAUAGUAUUUAGAGGAGGCAUCUUCUAUAAAUUAAAGCUUCGGUGGUAUAGGAUUGGCUCGCGUGACAUUAGCUAGAUGGUGAGGUAACGGCUCACCAUGGCAAUGAUGUCUAGGGGUUCUGAGAGGAAGGCCCCCCACACUGGGACUGAGACACGGCCCAGACUCCUACGGGAGGCAGCAGUGAGGAAUAUUGGACAAUGGAUGGAAAUCUGAUCCAGCCAUGCCGCGUGCAGGAAGACAGCCCUAUGGGUUGUAAACUGCUUUUAUAUGGGAGCAAUAAGGUCUACGUGUAGACUGAUGAGAGUACCAUAUGAAUAAGC
This 470-nucleotide ribosomal RNA is filed under the name uncultured bacterium. RNAcentral describes it as "bacterial SSU rRNA". It matches the Rfam family "Bacterial small subunit ribosomal RNA", at positions 28 to 491 of the family's 1533-position model. The record is from RNAcentral.